The sequence is a ribosomal RNA, 387 nucleotides long. It matches the Rfam family "Eukaryotic small subunit ribosomal RNA", at positions 582 to 975 of the family's 1831-position model.
AUUCCAGCUCUGUAAGCGUAUACCAAAGUUGUUGCAGUUAAAACGCUCGUAGUCGGAGGUUGGCGGGCAGUCCAGGGCGUCCUCGCGGACGGAUCUGGAGUUGGCCGCCUUUGUGGAUGGGGGCCUGGUGGAGCUUCACUGCUUCAUUGUGGUCGCUGCCACCGUUUACUGUGAAAAAAUUAGAGUGUUCAAAGCAGGCGUUUGCCAUGAAUACAUUAGCAUGGAAUAAUAGAAUAGGACCUGUUUCCUGUUUUGUUGGUUUGUGAGGAUCGGGUAAUGAUUAAGAGGGACGGUUGGGGGCAUUUGUAUUCCGGCGUCAGAGGUGAAAUUCUUGGAUUGGCGGAAGACAAACGGCUGCGAAAGCGUCUGCCAAGGACGUUUUCAUUA